This 69-nucleotide transfer RNA is filed under the name Sphaerodactylus townsendi. RNAcentral's name for it is "tRNA-Thr". Lineage: Eukaryota; Metazoa; Chordata; Lepidosauria; Squamata; Sphaerodactylidae. The record is from RNAcentral.
GCUGUGGCUCAAUGGUAGGCUAUCUGCUUGGUAUGCAGAAAGUCCCAGGUUCAAUCCCUAACAGAGGUG